Tripterygium wilfordii is the source of this 777-nucleotide long non-coding RNA. RefSeq lists it as uncharacterized. The record is from RefSeq and is a predicted model, not a curated record. Lineage: Eukaryota; Viridiplantae; Streptophyta; Magnoliopsida; Celastrales; Celastraceae. The transcript has 4 exons.
UACAAAUAUAUAUGGACAUGGGAAAUUUAGGAAUUUGAUUUUAAAUAGAAUGGUAAAAAGGUCAAUUCCAACUUAACCCUACUUGUCCAUUCUCUUCUUAUUGUUCCUUAUAACUCCCGAAACCCAUUCUCUUCUUACUUCCGAAAAACCACUCUCUUCUUAGUCUCCCUUUUAACUCUAGAAAAACCCACUAAAUUGGACUACAAAGAGCAGCCCCUGUUUUACUUGUUGAUUUGCCAAUUAAGAAGAGAAUUUUGUGUGAAGUUUGGCUAAUUCAGGCCACUAGGUUCGGGCACUUUGUAACCAGUUUUUAUCUUCCAUUCAAACUACCAAAAAUCACUUAAAAUAGCCUUUGAUUGCUUAGGCAAGAGUCGAUCACUCUUCGGCAACUUAAGGAUUGGUUCAUUGGAUAAUACUUGACGCGUGUUGCUUAAGCUUGUGAAGUGUGUCUACAAGAGGUCAGGAGGAUGUUCAGGAUCGACUGCCGGAGGCGUGACAGUGCAGUGUAGUCCGUGUCUAUUAGAUUUAUAUUUAUUAUCCGUAUUAGAAUUUAGACUAGUUAAACUAUUGAAAUUUUGACAUAUUUUCUCAAUCACCCUUUUACUUGAGCUAGUUUGGUUCCGCUGCGAUAUCGACCACUGAGGUCUAGUAUUCUGAUUUUGUUGGAUGUUUUGCUACUUUCUUUGAGAUUGACCACUGAGGUCUUUAAUUAUUCGAUAGUAAGAAACCGUAGUUUUCUGGAGGCUUAGUGCCAUUUGAGUCCUCUUAGGACAAUUA